GCGGGAGUAAUUCAGAGGCAGAAUGCCAGCUUCCCAAGCUGGACGUCGCGGGUUCGAUUCCCGUCUCCCGCUCCA
RNAcentral lists this transfer RNA (75 nucleotides) under Nitrospira sp. RNAcentral's name for it is "tRNA-Gly". It matches the Rfam family "tRNA". From Rfam's summary of the family: Transfer RNA (tRNA) molecules are approximately 80 nucleotides in length. Their secondary structure includes four short double-helical elements and three loops (D, anti-codon, and T loops). The record is from RNAcentral. RNAcentral also lists the same sequence under 3 other names. Lineage: Bacteria; Pseudomonadati; Nitrospirota; Nitrospiria; Nitrospirales; Nitrospiraceae.